GCCCAAAAACCCAGCUAACCAACCCUACAAAACCCCAUAUAAUUAAAACUAAAACAUUUAUUCCUAGCCAGUAAAUGAGAUUAAACACUUCUACUUUAGCCUUAAAAGUACCGCAAGGGAAAAAAUGAAAGACUAAUGAAACUAUUAAAGCACUAAAUAGCAAAGAUUAACUCCUGUACCUCUUGCAUCAUGGUUCAGCAAACCACCUUCAGACAAAGAGAACCUUUAGCCUGACCCCCCCGAAACCAAACGAGCUAUUUUUGGGCACCUGUUAAUUAGACCGCACCCGUCCCUGUAGCAAAAGGGUGGGAAGACCUAAAAAUAGAGGCGAAAAGCCUAUCGAGCUUGGUGAUAGCUGGUUACUCAACAAAAGAAUUUAAGUUCAACUUUAGGCACACACGAGACAAAAACACAAACUCAGCCUAUACUACCUAAAGAAAACCAAUGGGGGUACAGCCCCAUUGAACCGGAAUACAGCCCGAAAUGAGAGACAAUCAACAUCCAUUCUUAGUAGGCUUCAGAGCAGCCACCAACAAACCGCGUUAUAGCUAGAACUAAAACAAUUUAAAUAAUUUAACUAACCUCCAACCCAACUAGAGUUAUUCUAUACUAGUAUAGAAAUACCAAUGCUAAUAUUAGUAAUAAGAAACACUCAUUUCUCUUAGCAUCGCCUUAAAUCAGAACAGAAAACCUACUGAUAAUUAACAAACUAACUAACUGACCUGCACACUCUAGCCCCCAUGUCUCCACAACUUGUUACCCCAACACAGGAAUGCAAAAAAGAAAGGCAAAAACCCGCAAAAGGAACUCGGCAAAAUAAGUCCCAACUGUUUACCAAAAACAUAGCCUUUAGCCCUACAAGUAUUAAAGGUUUCGCCUGCCCAGUGACUCUUUAAACGGCCGCGGUAUCCUAACCGUGCAAAGGUAGCAUAAUCACUUGUCCCUUAAAUAGGGACUGGAAUGAAUGGCUAAAUGAGGACUUAACUGUCUCUUGCAGUAAGCCAAUGAAAUUGAUUUUCCAGUACAAAAGCUGGAAUGUACCCAUAAGACGAGAAGACCCUGUGGAGCUUAUAAACCUAAGCCAAUCAAAUAUGGCCUCAAGGUUUUUAGUUGGGGCGACUUUGGAGUAUAAAAAAACCUCCAAAAACUCCCGUACCUAGACCCACACAUCAAAAUAACACUACUAGACCCAGCAACAAUCCUAACCUGUUGUCUGACUAAUGAACCAAGUUACCCCAGGGAUAACAGCGCCAUCCCCUUUUAGAGUCCCUAUCGACAAGGGGGUUUACGACCUCGAUGUUGGAUCAGGACACCCCAAURGUGCAGCCGCCAUUAAAGGUUUGUUUGUUCAACAAUUAAAGUCCUACGUGAUCUGAGUUCAGACCGGAGAAAUCCAGGUCGGUUUCUAUCUAUGUAAUACCAUUCUCAGUACGAAAGGACCAGAAUAGUAGGACCCAUACUAAAAGAACGUCCUAAUUUAAACUUCUGACUACCCCUAAAGAAGCACAAAUGUUUAACUAAAACCCAAAACUAGGGCUU
RNAcentral lists this ribosomal RNA (1539 nucleotides) under Apathya cappadocica. RNAcentral's name for it is "partial large subunit ribosomal RNA". It matches the Rfam family "Bacterial large subunit ribosomal RNA", at positions 562 to 2817 of the family's 2925-position model. The record is from RNAcentral. Lineage: Eukaryota; Metazoa; Chordata; Lepidosauria; Squamata; Lacertidae.